Molecule: ribosomal RNA, 230 nt
Filed under: uncultured bacterium
Lineage: Bacteria
Description: partial 16S ribosomal RNA
Rfam family: Bacterial small subunit ribosomal RNA
Source: RNAcentral
UCGUCCUACGGGAGGCAGCAGUGAGGAAUAUUGCACAAUGGGGGAAACCCUGAUGCAGCGACGCCGCGUGAGCGAUGAAGUAUUUCGGUAUGUAAAGCUCUAUCAGCAGGGAAGAAGAUGACGGUACCUGACUAAGAAGCCCCGGCUAACUACGUGCCAGCAGCCGCGGCAAUACGUAGGGGGCAAGCGUUAUCCGGAUUUACUGGGUGUAAAGAGAGCGUAGACGGCGA